CGACUCUUAGCUCAGUUAGAUAGAGCGGACGACUGUAGUUUUGAUUAAUCUAAAUUGGAAAUCCUUAGGUCGCUGGUUCGAAUCCGGCAUGGUCGG
Molecule: transfer RNA, 96 nt
Filed under: Ipomoea nil (Japanese morning glory)
Lineage: Eukaryota; Viridiplantae; Streptophyta; Magnoliopsida; Solanales; Convolvulaceae
Rfam family: tRNA
About the family: Transfer RNA (tRNA) molecules are approximately 80 nucleotides in length. Their secondary structure includes four short double-helical elements and three loops (D, anti-codon, and T loops).
Source: Rfam by way of RNAcentral